RNAcentral lists this ribosomal RNA (914 nucleotides) under uncultured archaeon. RNAcentral describes it as "bacterial SSU rRNA". It matches the Rfam family "Archaeal small subunit ribosomal RNA", at positions 1 to 922 of the family's 1478-position model. The record is from RNAcentral.
UUCCGGUUGAUCCUGCCAGACCUGACUGCUAUCGGAUUGAUACUAAGCCAUGCGAGUCAUUGUAGCAAUACAAGGCAUACGGCUCAGUAACGCGUAGUCAACCUAACCUAUGGACGGGAAUAACCUCGGGAAACUGAGAAUAAUGCCCGAUAGAACAUUAUACCUGGAAUGGUUUAUGUUCCAAAUGAUUUAUCGCCGUAGGAUGGGACUGCGGCCUAUCAGUUUGUUGGUGAGGUAAUGGCCCACCAAGACUAUUACAGGUACGGGCUCUGAGAGGAGUAGCCCGGAGAUGGGUACUGAGACACGGACCCAGGCCCUAUGGGGCGCAGCAGGCGAGAAAACUUUGCAAUGUGCGAAAGCACGACAAGGUUAAUCCGAGUGAUUUCUGCUAAAGAAAUCUUUUGUUAGUCCUAGAAACACUAACGAAUAAGGGGUGGGCAAGUUCUGGUGUCAGCCGCCGCGGUAAAACCAGCACCUCAAGUGGUCAGGAUGAUUAUUGGGCCUAAAGCAUCCGUAGCCGGCUCUGUAAGUUUUCGGUUAAAUCUGUACGCUUAACGUACAGGCCGCCGGGAAUACUGCAAAGCUAGGGAGUGGGAGAAGUAGACGGUACUCGGUAGGAAGUGGUAAAAUGCUUUGAUCUAUCGAUGACCACCUGUGGCGAAGGCGGUCUACUAGAACACGUCCGACGGUGAGGGAUGAAAGCUGGGGGAGCAAACCGGAUUAGAUACCCGGGUAGUCCCAGCUGUAAACUAUGCAAACUCAGUGAUGCAUUGGCUUGUGGCCAAUGCAGUGCUGCAGGGAAGCCGUUAAGUUUGCCGCCUGGGAAGUACGUACGCAAGUAUGAAACUUAAAGGAAUUGGCGGGGGAGCACCACAAGGGGUGAAGCCUGCGGUUCAAUUGGAGUCAACGCCGGG